AGAGUUUGAUCCUGGCUCAGGACGAACGCUGGCGGCGUGCCUAAUACAUGCAAGUCGAGCGGACAGAAGGGAGCUUGCUCCCGGAUGUUAGCGGCGGACGGGUGAGUAACACGUGGGUAACCUGCCUGUAAGACUGGGAUAACUCCGGGAAACCGGAGCUAAUACCGGAUAGUUCCUUGAACCGCAUGGUUCAAGGAUGAAAGACGGUUUCGGCUGUCACUUACAGAUGGACCCGCGGCGCAUUAGCUAGUUGGUGGGGUAAUGGCUCACCAAGGCGACGAUGCGUAGCCGACCUGAGAGGGUGAUCGGCCACACUGGGACUGAGACACGGCCCAGACUCCUACGGGAGGCAGCAGUAGGGAAUCUUCCGCAAUGGACGAAAGUCUGACGGAGCAACGCCGCGUGAGUGAUGAAGGUUUUCGGAUCGUAAAGCUCUGUCGUUAGGGAAGAACAAGUGCGAGAGUAACUGCUCGCACCUUGACGGUACCUAACCAGAAAGCCACGGCUAACUACGUGCCAGCAGCCGCGGUAAUACGUAGGUGGCAAGCGUUGUCCGGAAUUAUUGGGCGUAAAGGGCUCGCAGGCGGUUUCUUAAGUCUGAUGUGAAAGCCCACGGCUCAACCGUGGAGGGUCAUUGGAAACUGGGGGACUUGAGUGCAGAAGAGGAAAGUGGAAUUCCACGUGUAGCGGUGAAAUGCGUAGAGAUGUGGAGGAACACCAGUGGCGAAGGCGACUUUCUGGUCUGUAACUGACGCUGAGGCGCGAAAGCGUGGGGAGCAACAGGAUUAGAUACCCUGGUAGUCCACGCCGUAAACGAUGAGUGCUAAGUGUUAGAGGGUUUCCGCCCUUUAGUGCUGCAGCAAACGCAUUUAGCACUCCGCCUGGGGGAAUACGGCCGCAAGGCUGAAACUCAAAGGAAUUGACGG
RNAcentral lists this ribosomal RNA (926 nucleotides) under Bacillus cereus. RNAcentral describes it as "bacterial SSU rRNA". It matches the Rfam family "Bacterial small subunit ribosomal RNA", at positions 8 to 916 of the family's 1533-position model. Lineage: Bacteria; Bacillati; Bacillota; Bacilli; Caryophanales; Bacillaceae. The record is from RNAcentral.